RNAcentral lists this ribosomal RNA (252 nucleotides) under uncultured Bacteroidales bacterium. RNAcentral describes it as "partial 16S ribosomal RNA". It matches the Rfam family "Bacterial small subunit ribosomal RNA", at positions 524 to 776 of the family's 1533-position model. Lineage: Bacteria; Pseudomonadati; Bacteroidota; Bacteroidia; Bacteroidales. The record is from RNAcentral.
UACGGAGGAUGCGAGCGUUAUUCGGAUUUAUUGGGUUUAAAGGGUGCGUAGGCGGGCUGUUAAGUCAGCGGUCAAAUGUCGGGGCUCAACCCCGGCCUGCCGUCGGAACUGGGUGCCUUGAGUGGGCGAGAAGUAUGCGGAAUGCGUGGUGUAGCGGUGAAAUGCAUAGAUAUCACACAGAACUCCGAUUGCGAAGGCAGCAUACCGGCGGCGAUCUGACGCUGAGGCACGAAAGCGUGGGUAUCGAACAGG